This 468-nucleotide ribosomal RNA is filed under the name uncultured bacterium. Its description in RNAcentral is "partial 16S ribosomal RNA". It matches the Rfam family "Bacterial small subunit ribosomal RNA", at positions 28 to 507 of the family's 1533-position model. The record is from RNAcentral.
GACGAACGCUGGCGGCGUGCUUAACACAUGCAAGUCGAACGGAAAGGCCCUGCCUUUGUGGGGUGCUCGAGUGGCGAACGGGUGAGUAACACGUGAGUAACCUGCCCUUUACUUUGGGAUAACUUCAGGAAACUGGGGCUAAUACCGGAUAGGAGCUCCUGCUGCAUGGUGUGGGUUGGAAAGUUUCGGCGGUUGGGGAUGGACUCGCGGCUUAUCAGCUUGUUGGUGGGGUAGUGGCUUACCAAGGCUUUGACGGGUAGCCGGCCUGAGAGGGUGACCGGCCACAUUGGGACUGAGAUACGGCCCGGACUCCUACGGGAGGAAGAGGUGGGGAAUAGUGCAAAAUGGGCGGAGGCCGGAUGCAGCAACGCCGGGUGGGGGAUGACGGCCUUCGGGUUGUAAACCGCUUUAGCCUGGAACGAAGCGUGUGUGACGGUAAUGGGUAAAGAAGCACCGGCUAACUACGUG